Molecule: ribosomal RNA, 299 nt
Filed under: Lagaropsylla idae
Lineage: Eukaryota; Metazoa; Arthropoda; Insecta; Siphonaptera; Ischnopsyllidae
Description: partial 12S ribosomal RNA
Source: RNAcentral
AUACUAAAGUAGUAAUAGUUAUAUGCUUGAAACUUAAAGAAUUUGGCGGUAUUUUAAUCUUUUCAGAGGAACCUGUUCUAUGAUCGAUAUUCCACGUUAAAUUUUACUAAAUUAUUUGUAUAUCGUUGUCGAAAGAAUAUAAUUUUCAAAUAUUAUAUUUAUAAUAGAUGUCAAAUCAAGGUGCAGUUUAUAAUUUAGUAGAAAUGGGUUACAAUAAAAAUAUUUAGAAUUUUAAUGAAGGUGGAUUUGAAAGUAAAUUAAUUUUAAUAAAUUUAAUUGAUUAUAGUUCUAAAAUAUGU